GAUAGAAUGGCUGAAAAUAGGCAUUAAAUUGUAAAUUUAAAUAUGAAGAUUACUUCUUCUAUCA
This 64-nucleotide transfer RNA is filed under the name Panorpa communis. RNAcentral's name for it is "tRNA-Tyr". The record is from RNAcentral. Lineage: Eukaryota; Metazoa; Arthropoda; Insecta; Mecoptera; Panorpidae.